GUCAACUUAGAGUUGAGGAUCUCAGUCCUCAGUGAAGAGGAAGGAGGAGAGAAUGAAAUCUUUGAGUGUUUCACUAGUCAUCCUGUGGUUGCAGUUAAACUGGGUGAGCAGCCAGCAGAAGGUGCAACAGAAUCCAGAAUCUGUCAUUGUCCCAGAGGGAGACAUGACCUUUCUCAACUGCACUUUUAGCAGCAGUGCUUCUCAGUCCUUCUGGUGGUACCAACAGCAUCCUUCGAAAGUCCCGAAGGCACUGAUAUCCAUAUUCUCUGAUGGCAACAAGAAAGAAGGCAGAUUCACAGUUCACCUCAAUAAAGCCAGCCUACGUGUUUCCCUGCACAUCAGAGACUCCCGUCCUGGUGACUCUGCUCUCUACUUCUGUGCAGUGAGCACACAGUGCUCCCCAGGCACCUGCAGCCUGCAUGCAAACCUAUUGUACAGCAGCUAG
Molecule: non-coding RNA, 445 nt
Organism: Grammomys surdaster
Lineage: Eukaryota; Metazoa; Chordata; Mammalia; Rodentia; Muridae
Source: the annotation of a RefSeq genome assembly